This 301-nucleotide ribosomal RNA is filed under the name uncultured bacterium. Its description in RNAcentral is "partial 16S ribosomal RNA". It matches the Rfam family "Bacterial small subunit ribosomal RNA", at positions 509 to 809 of the family's 1533-position model. The record is from RNAcentral.
CAGUAGCCGCGGUAAUACGAAGGGUGCAAGCGUUAAUCGGAAUUACUGGGCGUAAAGCGUGCGUAGGCGGUGAGUUAAGUCUGCUGUGAAAUCCCCGGGCUCAACCUGGGAAUUGCAGUGGAUACUGGCUCGCUAGAGUGUGUCAGAGGAUGGUGGAAUUCCCGGUGUAGCGGUGAAAUGCGUAGAGAUCGGGAGGAACAUCAGUGGCGAAGGCGGCCAUCUGGGACAACACUGACGCUGAGGCACGAAAGCGUGGGGAGCAAACAGGAUUAGAUACCCCUGUAGUCCCUGUCUCUUAUAU